UUACCUACACCCUCAUCAAGGCCACUGUUGUUUUUAUCAUCAUCCACUACACUUACAAAUUCUUCACCUUCAAGUACUAUUCCACCACCCGUCACUAGUUCAAUAUCCACUACUGCUCUACCUCCUAUUGCACUUAUGCCAACACCUGAGGGGGCCUCAAUUGUCGGGAUCAUCAUUGAAGAGUUUGAAGCUCCAUAUAUAGAUUGAAAAUGGCUAGUACCUUCUCAUCUCUAUCUGGCGAGGGCCACAAAGAUCUUCAAGAAUGACAUAGAGCAUGAGGGGUACGUGUGGCGAUUUGUGCCUAAGAAUACGAAGGACUCGUUCUUCACGGAAUGGAAGGUAAUAAUUAUUAUGAUUAUUCAAUUUUUUUUUAAUUUAAAAGUGAUUAAUAUUAAUAUUUUUUGUUUUAUUUAUUUUUACAUAAAUUUUUCACCCGGGACUCAAGGUACGAGGACCAGCUCCAACUUGAAUAGAAUAGGCAAGCAACCGAGAGAUACAUUGACAUGGUAUCCAGCUGGAAGAGAUACGAAAAGCAGGAUCGAUGUGUCGCAGAGGACACUUGAACGCAUUAUAUAUACUACUAGAAGAAGCUUGAGGUGAAGGUAGCAAGAACCAUCUCAACGACUAUAGCAAGAACUGUCUCAGCGAGGUUGCCGGUCCGGGUAUAGGCUCGGAUCGUCACACUACUAGAUCGAGGUUGGCCAUCGAUCACCGGCGGGCAUUAAUAAGGAAGUUGGGUCGCAAGCCUACUGCUUUGAGCUGUUUCGCCGGUUGUAUAAUAAGACCAAUGACCGAUUCAUCGAAAGUAAAUCCCAA
Ricinus communis (castor bean) is the source of this 816-nucleotide long non-coding RNA. RefSeq lists it as uncharacterized. Lineage: Eukaryota; Viridiplantae; Streptophyta; Magnoliopsida; Malpighiales; Euphorbiaceae. The transcript has 3 exons. The record is from RefSeq and is a predicted model, not a curated record.